CUGCUGCCGGCGCCCACCUCUCGGGGGUUCCGCAGUCCCCAGCUCACGGCCUGCACCGGCCCCCCGCCCCCGGCCCGGCCCGGCCUCCCGGCCACACCGCGGCAGCCGCUGCUGCAGCCCCCCAACCCUGCCCGGCGCGGCCCAGCCCGGCCGCCACCGCCACCGCCACCUCUAGCCCCGGCGAGUUUGAGGCGAGCGCUGGGCGCGCGGCGCCGCCUCGAUGUGCCUGGGAGCCGCCUUGGCGCCCCAGCCCCGCUGAACAGCCCCCUCUCGCAGCGGCCGGCCCGAGAGGGCCAGCGAGGAGGCGCGGCCAGCUCCAGAGAAAGAGCGAGAGAGAGAACGAGCCCGAUCGCGAGCGCAGGGAGCAGACACCAUGCCGGGCUGGAAGAAGAAUAUCCCCAUCUGCUUGCAGGCGGAAGAGCAGGAGAGAGGUGAGUGAGGCGACCGGGCCGGGGAAGGCUA
RNAcentral lists this long non-coding RNA (462 nucleotides) under Marmota monax (woodchuck). Lineage: Eukaryota; Metazoa; Chordata; Mammalia; Rodentia; Sciuridae. The record is from RNAcentral.